RNAcentral lists this unclassified non-coding RNA (336 nucleotides) under soil metagenome. RNAcentral's name for it is "partial contains 5.8S ribosomal RNA, internal transcribed spacer 2, and large subunit ribosomal RNA". The stretch from base 1 to 120 matches the Rfam family "5.8S ribosomal RNA", at positions 35 to 154 of the family's 154-position model. The record is from RNAcentral.
GAUGAAGAACGUAGCGAAAUGCGAUAAGUAAUGUGAAUUGCAGAAUUCAGUGAAUCAUCGAAUCAUUGAACGCACAUUGCGCCCGCCAGUAUUCUGGCGGGCAUGCCUGUUCGAGCGUCAUUUCAACCAUCAAGCCCCAGGCUUGUGUUGGGGACCUGCGGCUGCCGCAGGCCCUGAAAACCAGUGGCGGGCUCGCUGUCACACCGGGCGUAGUAGAUUUUAUCUCGCUCAGGGCGUGCUGCGGGUCCCGGCCGUUAAAAGCCUUUUUUUACCCAAGGUUGACCUCGGAUCAGGUAGGAAGACCCGCUGAACUUAAGCAUAUCAAUAAGCGGAGGA